AUCCCAUGAUGUGGAGACUUCUGCAGCAUAUUCUUAAACCUAUUUCAGGCUUCAUCAAAAUUCUCUGAGUUGCCUUGACAAAAAACAGAUAUGUCGUGCUUGAGCUU
This 107-nucleotide small nucleolar RNA is filed under the name Olea europaea subsp. europaea. Its description in RNAcentral is "Plant small nucleolar RNA R71". It matches the Rfam family "Plant small nucleolar RNA R71". From Rfam's summary of the family: R71 is a member of the C/D box family of snoRNAs containing the C (UGAUGA) and D (CUGA) box motifs. Multiple nearly identical copies of this snoRNA have been identified in Arabidopsis, and it is thought to function as a 2'-O-ribose methylation guide for 18S ribosomal RNA. The record is from Rfam by way of RNAcentral. Lineage: Eukaryota; Viridiplantae; Streptophyta; Magnoliopsida; Lamiales; Oleaceae.